UACGGAGUGUGCAAGCGUUACUCGGAAUCACUGGGCAUAAAGCGCGCGUAGGCGGGCUUUCAAGUCGGUUGUGAAAUCCCUCAGCUCAACUGAGGAACUGCAUCCGAUACUGUCUGUCUUGAGGACGAGAGGGGAGAGUGGAACUUCUGGUGGAGCGGUGAAAUGCGUAGAUAUCAGGAAGAACACCCGUGGCGAAGGCGGCUCUCUGGGACGGUACUGACGCUGAGACGCGAAAGCGUGGGGAGCGAACAGG
This 253-nucleotide ribosomal RNA is filed under the name uncultured bacterium. RNAcentral describes it as "partial 16S ribosomal RNA". It matches the Rfam family "Bacterial small subunit ribosomal RNA", at positions 524 to 776 of the family's 1533-position model. The record is from RNAcentral.